RNAcentral lists this long non-coding RNA (367 nucleotides) under Setaria viridis. RNAcentral's name for it is "long non-coding RNA (SVIR_LNC001700)". The record is from RNAcentral. Lineage: Eukaryota; Viridiplantae; Streptophyta; Magnoliopsida; Poales; Poaceae.
ACUCAAGCAAGAAAGGACCAAACAAACGAAAUGAUGGCCCUUCAUUCAACAAACUACUCGAGAAACAAUGCCAUGGCACCCGCACAGCAAGCACGCUAUAAUGGACUGCUACAGCCUUCGCAGAGUAAUGCAAGAGUUGCCAGAACCUCUCGCCAACAACAAUAAGGACAAAGGCAAGGGCAAGAUGGAUGAAAUUGAAGACGGCGAAGACAAGUUCCAGACAGCGUCUAAAACUGUCAACGUUAUUUUUGGCAGAAUUCCAGGCACUGCCUCCAAGCGAUCCAACAAAUUAGUACUUAGAGAAAUCAUGGAUAUCGAACUAGCCACCCCCACACCUCGCAAAUGGUCUAAGGUACCCAUUACCUUC